Molecule: long non-coding RNA, 471 nt
Organism: Coregonus clupeaformis (lake whitefish)
Lineage: Eukaryota; Metazoa; Chordata; Actinopteri; Salmoniformes; Salmonidae
Exons: 4
Source: RefSeq, a predicted model, not a curated record
GCGUCUGAGUGGGGGGAGAGUGGCGUUCCACAGGAGAGGGGUGGCAGCGGGGGUGGAGGUGUGGCUGAUGCGACUGAGCAGAAAAUAGGGCUGAUAGUCUUGGAGAUUUGCCACAAACCAGGUGGCGCUGAGUACCUGAGGCAAAUCUAUCACAUCAUCCAAGUCAAUGAGCCACUGUUGAGCUCCAAGCUGUGUGCGUCCAGUGACCCCCCAGAUGAGUCUACUCAGACAGUGAUCUUUAACCCCCUCACCCCAGUUCAACCCCCUCCACCAGUUUGACCACAUCGGCAGCAACAAGUUUGACCAGGCAGCCAUAGGAGAGGACCUCGGACUGGGCCAUGCUAAUGCCAACUUACCAGGGGAUGAGUCAGGUGACCUUGAGAACGCUACUGGCCAACAGGUGUGGGGGACAGAGGGAGAGCGGCUCUUCAGAGGCCAGCGGAGAGCUGAAAGACUGAUGGGGAAAUGAAG